This 533-nucleotide ribosomal RNA is filed under the name Fusarium verticillioides. RNAcentral describes it as "eukaryotic LSU rRNA". The stretch from base 168 to 321 matches the Rfam family "5.8S ribosomal RNA". The record is from RNAcentral. Lineage: Eukaryota; Fungi; Ascomycota; Sordariomycetes; Hypocreales; Nectriaceae.
ACCAGCGGAGGGAUCAUUACCGAGUUUACAACUCCCAAACCCCUGUGAACAUACCAAUUGUUGCCUCGGCGGAUCAGCCCGCUCCCGGUAAAACGGGACGGCCCGCCAGAGGACCCCUAAACUCUGUUUCUAUAUGUAACUUCUGAGUAAAACCAUAAAUAAAUCAAAACUUUCAACAACGGAUCUCUUGGUUCUGGCAUCGAUGAAGAACGCAGCAAAAUGCGAUAAGUAAUGUGAAUUGCAGAAUUCAGUGAAUCAUCGAAUCUUUGAACGCACAUUGCGCCCGCCAGUAUUCUGGCGGGCAUGCCUGUUCGAGCGUCAUUUCAACCCUCAAGCCCUCGGGUUUGGUGUUGGGGAUCGGCGAGCCCUUGCGGCAAGCCGGCCCCGAAAUAUAGUGGCGGUCUCGCUGCAGCUUCCAUUGCGUAGUAGUAAAACCCUCGCAACUGGUACGCGGCGCGGCCAAGCCGUUAAACCCCCAACUUCUGAAUGUUGACCUCGGAUCAGGUAGGAAUACCCGCUGAACUUAAGCAUAU